RNAcentral lists this ribosomal RNA (246 nucleotides) under uncultured bacterium. RNAcentral's name for it is "partial 16S ribosomal RNA". It matches the Rfam family "Bacterial small subunit ribosomal RNA", at positions 57 to 305 of the family's 1533-position model. The record is from RNAcentral.
GCAAGUCGAACGGUAGCAGGUCCUUCGGGGCGCUGACGAGUGGCGGACGGGUGAGUAAUGCGUAAGUAUCUACCCUAAAGAGUGGGAUAACCUGGGGAAACUCAGGCUAAUACCGCAUAAUCCUUAUUAGGCAAAGCAGGGGACCUUCGGGCCUUGCGCUUUAGGAUGAGCUUACGUCGGAUUAGCUUGUUGGUGGGGUAAAGGCCUACCAAGCCUGCGAUCUGUAGCUGGUCUGAGAGGAUGAUC